GUGGGGAAUAUUGGACAAUGGGCGCAAGCCUGAUCCAGCCAUGCCGCGUGAGUGAUGAAGGCCCUAGGGUUGUAAAGCUCUUUCACCGGUGAAGAUAAUGACGGUAACCGGAGAAGAAGCCCCGGCUAACUUCGUGCCAGCAGCCGCGGUAAUACGAAGGGGGCUAGCGUUGUUCGGAAUUACUGGGCGUAAAGCGCACGUAGGCGGGUAUUUAAGUCAGGGGUGAAAUCCCGGAGCUCAACUCCGGAACUGCCUUUGAUACUGGGUACCUAGAGUAUGGAAGAGGUAAGUGGAAUUCCGAGUGUAGAGGUGAAAUUCGUAGAUAUUCGGAGGAACACCAGUGGCGAAGGCGGCUUACUGGUCCAUUACUGACGCUGAGGUGCGAAAGCGUGGGGAGCAAACAGGAUUAGAUACCCCGGUAGUCC
Molecule: ribosomal RNA, 425 nt
Filed under: uncultured bacterium
Lineage: Bacteria
Description: partial 16S ribosomal RNA
Rfam family: Bacterial small subunit ribosomal RNA
Source: RNAcentral